Phaethon lepturus (White-tailed tropicbird) is the source of this 46-nucleotide non-coding RNA. NCBI's taxonomy places the organism in Eukaryota, Metazoa, Chordata, Aves, Phaethontiformes, Phaethontidae. The record is from Rfam.
UCAUAGGUGGUUUUCACCACCACCUUCUCUUACUGAGGUUUAUCUU